UCGAGAAUCUUCCGCAAUGGGCGCAAGCCUGACGGAGCGACGCCGCGUGGAGGACGAAGGCCUUCGGGUUGUAAACUCCUGUCACGGGUUAUGAACGGCGCAGCGUGAACAAUGCUGCGAUUGACGUAGCCCGAGAGGAAGCACUGGCUAACUCUGUGCCAGCAGCCGCGGUAAUACAGAGAGUGCAAACGUUGUUCGGAAUCACUGGGCAUAAAGCGCACGUAGGCGGCGCCGCAAGUGCGGGGUGAAAUCCCACGGCUUACCCGUGGAACUGCCUGGUAGACUGUGGUGCUAGAGGAUGGUAGGGGAGAGCGGAACUCCUGGUGGAGCGGUGAAAUGCGUAGAGAUCAGGAGGAACAUCGGUGGCGAAGGCGGCUCUCUGGUCCAUUACUGACGCUGAGGUGCGAAAGCUAGGGGAGCAAACGGGAUUAGAUACCCCGGUAGUCCUAGCUGUAAACGAUGGGUACUAGCUUGGGGUCUCCCUGUGUGAUCCCAGGUGAAGCAAAUGUGAUAAGUACCCCGCCUGGGGAGUAUGGUCGCAAGGCUG
This 547-nucleotide ribosomal RNA is filed under the name uncultured bacterium. RNAcentral describes it as "bacterial SSU rRNA". It matches the Rfam family "Bacterial small subunit ribosomal RNA", at positions 355 to 896 of the family's 1533-position model. The record is from RNAcentral.